Non-coding RNA from Aspergillus avenaceus, 113 nucleotides. Lineage: Eukaryota; Fungi; Ascomycota; Eurotiomycetes; Eurotiales; Aspergillaceae. The record is from the annotation of a GenBank genome assembly.
GGCAAGGUGGCCGAGUGGUCUAAGGCGCACGGUUCAGGUUUACCUGAUCCUUCAGAAGUUAUACAACUCUCCGUGUCAUGUAAAUGGCGUGGGUUCGAAUCCCACCCUUGUCA